RNAcentral lists this ribosomal RNA (384 nucleotides) under uncultured bacterium. Its description in RNAcentral is "bacterial SSU rRNA". It matches the Rfam family "Bacterial small subunit ribosomal RNA", at positions 30 to 414 of the family's 1533-position model. The record is from RNAcentral.
AUUGAACGCUGGCGGCAUGCCUUACACAUGCAAGUCGAACGGCAGCACGGGAGCAAUCCUGGUGGCGAGUGGCGAACGGGUGAGUAAAGUAUCGGAACGUACCUUUCAGUGGGGGAUAACGUAGCGAAAGUUACGCUAAUACCGCAUAUUCUGUGAGCAGGAAAGCGGGGGAUCGCAAGACCUCGCGCAAUUGGAGCGGCCGAUAUCAGAUUAGCUAGUUGGUGAGGUAAAGGCUCACCAAGGCGACGAUCUGUAGCUGGUCUGAGAGGACGACCAGCCACACUGGAACUGAGACACGGUCCAGACUCCUACGGGAGGCAGCAGUGGGGAAUUUUGGACAAUGGGCGCAAGCCUGAUCCAGCAAUGCCGCGUGCAGGACGAAGG